This 560-nucleotide ribosomal RNA is filed under the name Nervellius philippus. RNAcentral's name for it is "partial large subunit ribosomal RNA". The record is from RNAcentral. Lineage: Eukaryota; Metazoa; Arthropoda; Insecta; Hymenoptera; Braconidae.
CCAAAAGAUCGAAUGGGGAGAUUCAUCGUCAGCACAUUUUGUAUAUGUAGAAGUUAUGAUAUGGGUUACUCUUGUAGUAUUGCCUAUACAUAUUUUUACAUUUAGUUGCAAAAUGUUGUCGGCGUGCACUUCUCCCCUAGUAGGACAUCGCAACUCGUUGGGUGUUGGUCUACGACCAAAGUUGGAGACUUUAAUAUAUUAAAAAAUAUUAAAGACACUUUGUGUUAUCUGACCAUCUGCUCGGCGAUAUUCUUAUGGUAUUAAGCCGCAUUUUAUAUGCGUCUAUAUCCGUCACAAGCGAGGCUAGUUUUUAAUAGUACGGACUUAGUGCCGUCGUUAAAUCUGGCCAGCUGUUGGUUGUUACGGUAUUCUAGGACUGGCUAAAAAAAAUUUUUUUACCGGUUAGCGAUGCUACUGCUUUGGGUACUUUCAGGACCCGUCUUGAAACACGGACCAAGGAGUCUAACAUGUACGCAAGUCAUUGGGAUUUUUUUUUUUUAAAUUAAACCUAAAGGGCUAAUGAAAGUAAAGGUCGUCCUAGUGACGAUCAAGGGAGGAUG